Non-coding RNA from Phalacrocorax carbo (great cormorant), 201 nucleotides. Lineage: Eukaryota; Metazoa; Chordata; Aves; Suliformes; Phalacrocoracidae. The record is from Rfam.
UCCAGCGGUAGUCAGCUACCCAUAGCUGUUCAGUGCCUGUGAUAGUGUUAUUCUGCUGGGAGAGAAAUGUGCUGCUGAGUUGCUCCUGGCACUGCCAGUGCUGUUCUAGUGCUAGGUGGUGCCAGGUUUUGGCAGCACUCUGCAUGCUUGAGAGUGGAGUAACUCCUCGGUGGAGUUAAUCCUAGAUUGGAUGCAGACAAU